UCUGUCUUUGCUGUUUCAGUUCGUGCCCAUGAUAAGAGGAUAGCCUGUGAUGAAGAGUUCUCUGACUCUGAAGACGAAGGGGAAGGAGGGCGCAGGAACGUUGCCAAUUACAAGAAGGCCAAGCGUGUCAAGACUGAGGAGGAGAAGGACGGAGAGGAGAAAAAAGAUAUAAAAGAGGAGGAAAAGGCAAAAGAAGAGAAAACAGAAGCAAAGGUGGCAAAAGAAGAGGCAAAGUCGUCCUAGAAGCAGCCAAGGCCUCGUCACCUCUUGCAUGACUUGCAUAAGUAUUUUAGAAACCCCUUUUAGAAUUCCACUUUUUAAUUAGUUUUGAAUGAACCAUGUAAAUUAUUUCUAAGCGCCUCUCAAUUGUGAUCUAACACAACUGGUUUGGGGGUCAAGGGGAGGAUUUUAGACUGCAAGAUGGAACAGUCGUCUAGUUUUAUACACUAGUGGGUUCUGGAGUUUCAUUUUGGGUCCUCUGUUUUAGGUUUUAAUAUACUGUCAGUGUUUUUUAUUGGUUUUUAUACUUUUUUUUUUUUUUCCUUCCUUUUUGUGACACUGAUGCGCAUAUUGUGGACCAGGGGUGUGAACCUUCAAAUCAGAUCUAUAGAGACAUUCAUAAAGUAGUUUUAAAGUAUGUUUGGAAGUAGCUCCAGUAUAUUAAAUCAUGGCAAUUGCUGAAGAAUUAGGUGAUUUACCUCACAUAGAGGUGCAUUUUGUAUAUUGACCCUUAAUUUGUUUAGCGACGAAUUCUCAUGCAUUGCACUUAAGCUCUGCGUGCUAAAAGUGGGUGGGGUGAGAGUGCAGACCUGUUUUAUAAUGAUGGGCGUCUUCGUUAAAUGCAAUGUGAUGUAUAACAGAAGGAAUUUUAGGCUGGUAUCAUUCUAAUGAUGUGCAGAUUUGGAAACCUUUUACAGACACAAAGAUAUAACUUGUGGGUUGCAGACUGAACUUUCCCGGAUGGUUGUUCAGUUGAGUCUUACUGACUCCUGGUAAUGUCUUUAUUCAGAAUGACUGGGCAGCAGCUGGCAAGUUCACUGUAUUGCUUGUACAGAUGCAGAAGAAUGACAUCCCCAGUAAAACGGAGCUUAGCAAUGAACUGUAAUAAUCUUGCUAACUAACUAUUCAAAAGUUGAGUUUAAUCCCUGAUCUGUGACGUGAAGAAAUGUGUAAGUUAUUGAAUGCAGAGCAGUGGUGUUCUUUCAGACUGUUGAAGGGGUGAGGGGGUGGGAAGGAGAAUCCUGCGCUACUGAGUGAUGUUCUUUUCUGUGCGCUGCUGAAGGUCCAAGUGCCCCAGACUGUGCUGCUUGUGUGCGUCUCCUAAAAGCUCAAAGAUUGCAGCCUCUCGUCUGAAGAAUCUUCUGUGUGUUUUGUUUUCUUCUUGAAAUGCUUAUUUCCCUUUUUUUGAAAUCUUUGUAAUAAAAAGGUACAUUUCUACCCAAAUAUUUUUUGCCUGCUGU
Molecule: long non-coding RNA, 1460 nt
Organism: Polyodon spathula (Mississippi paddlefish)
Lineage: Eukaryota; Metazoa; Chordata; Actinopteri; Acipenseriformes; Polyodontidae
Exons: 3
Source: RefSeq, a predicted model, not a curated record